RNAcentral lists this ribosomal RNA (253 nucleotides) under uncultured bacterium. RNAcentral describes it as "partial 16S ribosomal RNA". It matches the Rfam family "Bacterial small subunit ribosomal RNA", at positions 524 to 776 of the family's 1533-position model. The record is from RNAcentral.
UACAGAGGGUGCAAGCGUUGUUCGGAAUUAUUGGGCGUAAAGCGCGUGUAGGCGGCUACGCAAGUCGGGUGUGAAAGCCCUCAGCUUAACUGAGGAAGUGCGCCCGAAACUGCGCAGCUUGAGUACCGGAGAGGAUGGCGGAAUUCCCGAAGUAGAGGUGAAAUUCGUAGAUAUCGGGAGGAACACCGGUGGCGAAGGCGGCCAUCUGGACGGAUACUGACGCUGAGACGCGAAAGCGUGGGUAGCAAACAGG